GCGGAUGUAGCACAAUGGUUAGUGCGCCGGCUUCCCAAGCCGGACACACGGGUUCGAUUCCCGCCAUCCGCU
This 72-nucleotide transfer RNA is filed under the name Lachnospiraceae bacterium. RNAcentral's name for it is "tRNA-Gly". It matches the Rfam family "tRNA". From Rfam's summary of the family: Transfer RNA (tRNA) molecules are approximately 80 nucleotides in length. The record is from RNAcentral. Lineage: Bacteria; Bacillati; Bacillota; Clostridia; Lachnospirales; Lachnospiraceae. RNAcentral also lists the same sequence under 1 other name.